UGUAACGGGGCUAAACCAUGCACCGAAGCUGCGGCAGCGAACGUAUCACUUAAAGCGAUUCAGCGGGUUACGAUUGACGGAGCGAAGCGACGUCAAAGCGUAUACAAAGUCGAGUCGGUUUAAGGAUACGUUCGUUGGGUAGGGGAGCGUUCUGUAAGCCUGUGAAGGUGUGUCGUGAGGCAUGCUGGAGGUAUCAGAAGUGCGAAUGCUGACAUAAGUAACGAUAAAGCGGGUGAAAAGCCCGCUCGCCGGAAGACCAAGGGUUCCUGUCCAACGUUAAUCGGGGCAGGGUGAGUCGACCCCUAAGGCGAGGCCGAAAGGCGUAGUCGAUGGGAAACGGGUUAAUAUUCCCGUACUUGGUGUUACUGCGAAGGGGGGACGGAGAAGGCUAUGUUGGCCGGGCGACGGUUGUCCCGGUUUAAGCGUGUAGGUGUGUGUUCCAGGUAAAUCCGGUUCACUUUAACACUGAGGCGUGACGACGAGGCACUACGGUGCUGAAGCAACAAAUGCCCUGCUUCCAGGAAAAGCCUCUAAGCAUCAGGUAACAUCAAAUCGUACCCCAAACCGACACAGGUGGUCAGGUAGAGAAUACCAAGGCGCUUGAGAGAACUCGGGUGAAGGAACUAGGCAAAAUGGUGCCGUAACUUCGGGAGAAGGCACGCUGACACGUAGGUGAAGUGAUUUACUCAUGGAGCUGAAGUCAGUCGAAGAUACCAGCUGGCUGCAACUGUUUAUUAAAAACACAGCACUGUGCAAACACGAAAGUGGACGUAUACGGUGUGACGCCUGCCCGGUGCCGGAAGGUUAAUUGAUGGGGUCAGCGCAAGCGAAGCUCCUGAUCGAAGCCCCGGUAAACGGCGGCCGUAACUAUAACGGUCCUAAGGUAGCGAAAUUCCUUGUCGGGUAAGUUCCGACCUGCACGAAUGGCGUAAUGAUGGCCAGGCUGUCUCCACCCGAGACUCAGUGAAAUUGAACUCGCUGUGAAGAUGCAGUGUACCCGCGGCAAGACGGAAAGACCCCGUGAACCUUUACUAUAGCUUGACACUGAACAUUGAGCCUUGAUGUGUAG
RNAcentral lists this ribosomal RNA (1069 nucleotides) under Salmonella enterica. Its description in RNAcentral is "partial 23S ribosomal RNA". It matches the Rfam family "Bacterial large subunit ribosomal RNA", at positions 1171 to 2141 of the family's 2925-position model. The record is from RNAcentral. Lineage: Bacteria; Pseudomonadati; Pseudomonadota; Gammaproteobacteria; Enterobacterales; Enterobacteriaceae.